RNAcentral lists this ribosomal RNA (497 nucleotides) under uncultured bacterium. RNAcentral describes it as "partial 16S ribosomal RNA". It matches the Rfam family "Bacterial small subunit ribosomal RNA", at positions 28 to 507 of the family's 1533-position model. The record is from RNAcentral.
GAUGAUCGCUGGCGGCGUGCCUAAUACAUGCAAGUCGAGCGAACGGACGAGAAGCUUGUUCCUCUGAUGUUAGCGGCGGACGGGUGAGUAACACGUGGAUAACCUACCUAUAAGACUGGGAUAACUUCGGGAAACCAGAGCUAAUACCGGAUGAUAUUUUGAACCGCAUGGUUCAAGAGUGAAAGACGGUCUUGCUGUCACUUAUAGAUGUAUCCGCGUUGCAUUAGCUAGUUGGUAAGGUAACGGCUUACCAAGGCAACGAUGCAUAGCCGACCUGAGAGGGUGAUCGGCCACACUGGAACUGAGACACGGUCCAGACUCCUACGGGAGGCAGCAGUAGGGAAUCUUGGGCAAUGGGCGAAAGCCUGACGGAGAAACGCCGCGUGAGUGAGGAAGGUCUUCGGAUCGUAAAACUCUGUUAUUAGGGAAGAAGAUAGGUGGAAGUAACUGCGCAUAUCGUGACGGUACCUAAUCAGAAAGCCACGGCUAACUACGUG